RNAcentral lists this ribosomal RNA (484 nucleotides) under uncultured bacterium. Its description in RNAcentral is "partial 16S ribosomal RNA". It matches the Rfam family "Bacterial small subunit ribosomal RNA", at positions 29 to 507 of the family's 1533-position model. The record is from RNAcentral.
AUUGAACGCUGGCGGCAUGCUUUACACAUGCAAGUCGAACGGCAGCGCGGGCUUCGGCCUGGCGGCGAGUGGCGAACGGGUGAGUAAUGCAUCGGAACGUGCCCAGUAGUGGGGGAUAGCCCGGCGAAAGCCGGAUUAAUACCGCAUACGACCUGAGGGUGAAAGCGGGGGACCGAAAGGUCUCGCGCUAUUGGAGCGUCCGAUGUCGGAUUAGCUAGUUGGUGGGGUAAAGGCUUACCAAGGCGACGAUCCGUAGCUGGUCUGAGAGGACGACCAGCCACACUGGGAAUGAGACAAGGACCAGCCUACUAAGGGAGGCAGCAGUAGGGAAUUUUGGACCAUGGGGGCAAGCCUGAUCCAGCCAUGCCGCGUGCGGGAAGAAGGCCUUCGGGUUGUAAACCGCUUUUGUUCGGGAAGAAAUCCUCUGGGCUAAUACACCGGGGGGAUGACGGUACCGGAAGAAUAAGCACCGGCUAACUACGUG